UGAACUUAAGCAUAUCAAUAAGCGGAGGAAAAGAAACUAACAAGGAUUCCCCUAGUAACGGCGAGUGAAGCGGGAAGAGCUCAAAUUUGAAAUCUGGCGGUCUCAGGCCGUCCGAGUUGUAAUCUAUAGAGGUGUUUUCCGUGCCGGACCGUGUACAAGUCCCUUGGAACAGGGCGUCAUAGAGGGUGAGAAUCCCGUCCAUGACACGGACUACCGGUGCUCUGUGAUACACCUUCAAAGAGUCGAGUUGUUUGGGAAUGCAGCUCAAAACGGGUGGUAAAUUCCAUCUAAAGCUAAAUAUAGACGAGAGACCGAUAGCGAACAAGUACCGUGAGGGAAAGAUGAAAAGAACUUUGGAAAGAGAGUUAAACAGUACGUGAAAUUGUUGAAAGGGAAACGCUUGAAGUCAGUCGCGUCUUCCAGGACUCAGCCUUGCUUCUGCUUGGUGUACUUCCUGGCGGAUGGGCCAGCAUCGAUUUUGAUCGCCGGAAAAGGGCGGGAGGAAUGUGGCAGCUUGCUGUGUUAUAGCCUCCCGUCGUACACGGUGGUUGGGAUCGAGGACUGCAGCACGCCUUUGGUCGGGGUUCGCCCACGCCACGUGCUUAGGAUGCUGGCGUAAUGGCUUUAAACGACCCGUCUUGAAACACGGACCAAGGAGUCUAACAUGCCUGCGAGUGUUUGGGUGUCAAACCCAGGCGCGUAAUGAAAGUGAAAAGUUGGGACUCUUUAGUGAGGCACCGACGCCCGAUCCUGACGUUCUCUGACGGAUUUGAGGCAGAGCAUGUAUGUUGGGACCCGAAAGAUGGUGAACUAUGCCUGAAUAGGGUGAAGCCAGAGGAAACUCUGGUGGAGGCUCGUAGCGAUUCUGACGUGCAAAUCGAUCGUCAAAUUUGGGUAUAGGGGCGAAAGACUAAUCGAACCAUCUAGUAGCUGGUUCC
This 938-nucleotide ribosomal RNA is filed under the name Exidia glandulosa. RNAcentral's name for it is "eukaryotic LSU rRNA". It matches the Rfam family "Eukaryotic large subunit ribosomal RNA", at positions 29 to 958 of the family's 3401-position model. The record is from RNAcentral. Lineage: Eukaryota; Fungi; Basidiomycota; Agaricomycetes; Auriculariales; Exidiaceae.